This 588-nucleotide ribosomal RNA is filed under the name uncultured bacterium. Its description in RNAcentral is "bacterial SSU rRNA". It matches the Rfam family "Bacterial small subunit ribosomal RNA", at positions 224 to 826 of the family's 1533-position model. The record is from RNAcentral.
GAUUAGCCUGCGUCCGAUUAGCUAGUUGGUAGGGUAAAAGCCUACCAAGGCUUCGAUCGGUAGGUGGUCCGAGAGGACGAUCACCCACAAUGGAACUGAGACACGGUCCAUACUCCUACGGGAGGCAGCAGUGGGGAAUUUUGCGCAAUGGGCGAAAGCCUGACGCAGCGACACCGCGUGAACGAAGAAGCCUUUUGGGGUGUAAAGUUCUGUCGGCUGGGAAGAAAAAAAUGACGGUACCAGCAAAGGAAGCAUCGGCUAACUACGUGCCAGCAGCCGCGGUAAGACGUAGGAUGCAAGCGUUGUCCGGAUUUAUUGGGCGUAAAGAGUUCGUAGGCGGUUUGUUAAGUCUGACGUUAAAGAUCAGGGCUCAACCCUGGGAUUGCUUCGGAUACUGGCAGACUGGAGUGUGGUAGAGGUAAGUGGAAUUUCUGGUGUAGCGGUGAAAUGCGUAGAUAUCAGGAAGAACACCAGUGGCGUAGGCGACUUACUGGGCCAUAACUGACGCUGAGGAACGAAAGCCAGGGGAGCAAAUGGGAUUAGAUACCCCAGUAGUCCUGGCUGUAAACGAUGUCAACUAGCUGUNGG